CUACGGGAGGCAGCAGUGGGGAAUUUUCCGCAAUGGGCGAAAGCCUGACGGAGCAACGCCGCGUGAGGGAUGAAGGCCUCUGGGCUGUAAACCUCUUUUAUCAAGGAAGAAGAUCUGACGGUACUUGAUGAAUAAGCCACGGCUAAUUCCGUGCCAGCAGCCGCGGUAAUACGGGAGUGGCAAGCGUUAUCCGGAAUUAUUGGGCGUAAAGCGUCCGCAGGCGGCCCUUCAAGUCUGCUGUUAAAAAGUGGAGCUUAACUCCAUCAUGGCAGUGGAAACUGUUGGGCUUGAGUGUGGUAGGGGCAGAGGGAAUUCCCGGUGUAGCGGUGAAAUGCGUAGAUAUCGGGAAGAACACCAGUGGCGAAGGCGCUCUGCUGGGCCAUAACUGACGCUCAUGGACGAAAGCCAGGGGAGCGAAAGGGAUUAGAUACCCCUGUAGUCCUGGCCGUAAACGAUGAACACUAGGUGUCGGGGGAAUCGACCCCCUCGGUGUCGUAGCCAACGCGUUAAGUGUUCCGCCUGGGGAGUACGCACGCAAGUGUGAAACUCAAAG
Molecule: ribosomal RNA, 553 nt
Filed under: uncultured bacterium
Lineage: Bacteria
Description: bacterial SSU rRNA
Rfam family: Bacterial small subunit ribosomal RNA
Source: RNAcentral